UACGUAGGGUGCAAGCGUUAAUCGGAAUUACUGGGCGUAAAGCGCACGUAGGCGGCUUUGUAAGUUAGAGGUGAAAGCCCGGAGCUCAACUCCGGAAUUGCCUUUAAGACUGCAUCGCUUGAAUCAUGGAGAGGUGAGUGGAAUUCCGAGUGUAGAGGUGAAAUUCGUAGAUAUUCGGAAGAACACCAGUGGCGAAGGCGACUCACUGGACAUGUAUUGACGCUGAGGUGCGAAAGCGUGGGGAGCAAACAGG
This 253-nucleotide ribosomal RNA is filed under the name uncultured bacterium. RNAcentral's name for it is "partial 16S ribosomal RNA". It matches the Rfam family "Bacterial small subunit ribosomal RNA", at positions 524 to 776 of the family's 1533-position model. The record is from RNAcentral.